Thalassophryne amazonica is the source of this 451-nucleotide long non-coding RNA. RefSeq lists it as uncharacterized. Lineage: Eukaryota; Metazoa; Chordata; Actinopteri; Batrachoidiformes; Batrachoididae. The transcript is spliced from 2 exons. The record is from RefSeq and is a predicted model, not a curated record.
AGGUCAGCACAGUAGUUUUCAGGAAAUACGUUUAGUUGGAACAAACAGAAGCUUGAGGUCUCUGAGCAAUUUAAAGACGAAGAUCUGGUCUGUGGCCUCAGUGGUUACUGAGGUAUAGCGAUUUGUGAUUUCACCAGGGUCAGAGGUCAAAACAGAGCUUUGUUUAUUGAGGUGGUAGCUCAGUGUGAUAAGGAGUUGGACUGCUAAUAUGUAGACUUGGAUUUGAUUCCUGUCACUGUGUUGCUGGCUUAGAAACUUGUAUAUUGCAAACAAUUUGACACUAAAAAUUAAUAUGGAAUGUCCAUGAAAGCACACAUGCACGGACAGAGAGAGAGAAGAACACAGUGCACUUUAUGUGUAUUAUUUAUUUAUUAUACAGGGGCCACACAGUGUCAUCACAUCUACAGUUUAAUAUUUGGAAAAUUAAGAAUAAGCUGUCCCAAAUGUGCCA